This is a long non-coding RNA of Bos indicus x Bos taurus (hybrid cattle), 446 nucleotides long. Lineage: Eukaryota; Metazoa; Chordata; Mammalia; Artiodactyla; Bovidae. The record is from Ensembl.
AGGUCUUGUGACUCAACAGUGAGUCAACAGGCAGACUUUGUUAGUCAGCCCUGAUAACUAGCAUUCCUAUGACCUUCCAGCAAAGACUCACACAACUGCAUGGGCAGACAGUGACAAGAGGGGUCAGGAGAUUGCUAUUUCCAUUUGUGUUCUGCUAAGCAUCCUCACUUUGGCUCUGGUAUGCAGUGGUACAGAAGGUCCACUCUGGAACUGGGGCUGUUUGGACAGGUGUCCUACCAGUGCAUUAUCAAAGAUUUUAAGGAAUCAAAUGAAGGAUGCUGACUCAUUAAGAGGCGGAAUGGAGAGGUGUGAAUUCCUAGCUGACGGCUAUGUAUAGCUAUGGGUUAGUAUUUCAAAAAGGUGAGAAAAUGAUUUUGCCUAAUGUUUAAAAAAUUACAUUUAAGUUUAGACCUGGAAGAUCUGUUUACAAGUGCUUUCAAAAUUGA